Molecule: ribosomal RNA, 253 nt
Filed under: uncultured bacterium
Lineage: Bacteria
Description: partial 16S ribosomal RNA
Rfam family: Bacterial small subunit ribosomal RNA
Source: RNAcentral
UACGUAGGGGGCGAGCGUUGUCCGGAAUUACUGGGCGUAAAGGGCUCGUAGGCGGCCAACUAAGUCCGACGUGAAAUCCCAAAGCUUAACUUUGGAACUGCGUCGGAUACUGGAUGGCUUGAAUUCGGGAGAGGGAUGCAGAAUUCCAGGUGUAGCGGUGAAAUGCGUAGAUAUCUGGAGGAAUACCGGUGGCGAAGGCGGCAUCCUGGACCGACAUUGACGCUGAGGAGCGAAAGCUAGGGGAGCAAACGGG